UUUCUACUCUCUUUUCAGAGCUCAGAGGAUGCUUCUCCAGCUCAGCAACAGGUAGCUCUGCUUGAUCUUCAGAGUGCUUUAUUCUGCUGCCAACUUGAAAUACAGAAGCUCCAGAGGGUGGUACGACAGAAAGAGCGCCAACUGGCUAAUGCCAAACAAUGUGUGCAAUUUGUAGAGGCUGCAGCACACGAGAGUGAACAGCAGAAAGAGGCUUCUUGGAAACAUAACCAGGAAUUGCGAAAAGCCUUGCAGCAGCUACAAGAAGAAUUGCAGAAUAAGAGCCAACAGCUUCAUGCCCGGGAGGCUGAAAAAUACAAUGAGAUUCGAACCCAGGAACAAAACAUCCAGCACCUAAACCAUAGUCUGAGUCACAAGGAGCAGUUGCUUCAGGAAUUUCGGGAGCUCCUACAGUAUCGAGAUAACUCAGACAAAACCCUUGAAGCAAAUGAAAUGUUGCUUGAGAAACUUCGCCAGCGAAUACAUGAUAAAGCUGUUGCUCUGGAGCGGGCUAUAGAUGAAAAAUUCUCUGCUCUAGAAGAGAAAGAAAAAGAACUGCGCCAGCUUCGUCUUGCUGUGAGAGAGCGAGAUCAUGACUUAGAGAGACUGCGCGGUGUCCUCUCCUCCAAUGAAGCUACUAUGCAAAGUAUGGAGAGUCUCCUGAGGGCCAAAGGCCUGGAAGUGGAACAG
This 687-nucleotide small RNA is filed under the name Pongo abelii (Sumatran orangutan). RNAcentral's name for it is "retained intron". The record is from RNAcentral. Lineage: Eukaryota; Metazoa; Chordata; Mammalia; Primates; Hominidae.